Long non-coding RNA from Anthonomus grandis grandis, 626 nucleotides. RefSeq lists it as uncharacterized. The transcript has 2 exons. The record is from RefSeq and is a predicted model, not a curated record. NCBI's taxonomy places the organism in Eukaryota, Metazoa, Arthropoda, Insecta, Coleoptera, Curculionidae.
UGUCUAACGUAAUUUUUAGAUGGCCUCUUAAACGUAUUAUAAUAAGUCGUAACAUUUAACAUUAUAAAAUAAAAAUAAAUUAUCCAUUAUAUACCUGCAAUUGCACAAUAGCAAUAGAAAUUUUAAUCAUAAAAAAUUAAUUUCUUUUCGCAAUCUGGGUGAAAGGGAACUCAAACCAAAGUUAGUAUUGCACUAAAAAUGAAUCAACUAAGAAGUUUCGUUUUUGUCGCGCUUGUCAUUUUCUCAAUUUGGCAAACAUGUUAUUCUCACUUGAUUCUUCGUUCUGAUAGAGAACUUCAAUUUGGAUGUGACCGUUAUGAUAAUGAAAAAUAUUCUACAUGUUCUGAUCACUAUCAGGAAUCUUGUUUCGUUGCAAAAAAGGGCCAUAGCAACAUUGUACCGCAUUGUUCUGAGGGUUGUUUUUGUAAACUAGGAUAUUAUAGGUCAGCUUCUGGCUGCGUGUUGUUUGAGGAUUGUGAUGAAUGGAAUCCUCGUCCUAUAAGAACACUUUAUCCAUAAAAUUGAAAAUGGUCGAUUAUUGUUGACUUAAAAUAAAGAAUUAUGUAAUAAUAAUAGUAGAAUAUUUUAGUUAUUCGUAAUAAAAAUAAAAAUAAUUUGAAACAGGG